RNAcentral lists this ribosomal RNA (459 nucleotides) under uncultured bacterium. RNAcentral's name for it is "bacterial SSU rRNA". It matches the Rfam family "Bacterial small subunit ribosomal RNA", at positions 340 to 786 of the family's 1533-position model. The record is from RNAcentral.
UACGGGAGGCAGCAGUGGGGAAUAUUGCACAAUGGGCGAAAGCCUGAUGCAGCUAUGCCGCGUGUAUGAAGAAGGCCUUAGGGUUGUAAAGUACUUUCAUCGGGGAGGAAAAAACAAAACUAAUAAUUUUAUUUCUUGACGUUACCCGAAAAAGAAGCACCGGCUAACUCCGUGCCAGCAGCCGCGGUAAUACGGAGGGUGCUAGCGUUAAUCAGAAUUACUGGGCGUAAAGAGCACGUAGGUGGUUUUUUUAAGUCAGAUGUGAAAUCCCUGGGCUUAACCUAGGAACUGCAUUUUGAAACUGAAAUACUAGAGUAUCGUAGAGGGAGGUAGAAUUCUAGGUGUAGCGGUGAAAUGCGUAGAUAUCUGGAGGAAUACCUGUGGCGAAAGCGGCCUCCUAAACGAAUACUGACACUGAGGUGCGAAAGCGUGGGGAGCGAAAACAGGGAUUAGGAUACC